AGGGCUCAGAGAUGUGACAGAGAAUACCGGGCCUGAAGGCUCGGUGAGAGGAUAAAGUGUCAUGAUGCGGUGGAAAGCUUUUCACUUUUUAGUGACAUAUCAAUAACAACUCUUCGGUUCAGCUGUGCACAAGAGAAAGGGCCUUGGAUGGCGUGAUGGCACAUGCUUAUGAUCCCAAUGCUCAGAAGGACAGCUGCAGGAUUGAGGCUAUCAUGGGCUAUAGAGGCUAUCACGGGCUAUGGACAGGCCACAGGGAGCCCUGGUGACCUUCUAACAUGUGGUGACUGCAAACCCUCAUUGACAUAGUGCUGUGACAUCACUGAAGCGCUUCCUGAGGAGCUGAAAGGACCAAGCAGAACCCACAGGAGCAUCUAGCCCAAGGCAACUGUGUUGCCAACUUUCAGUUGUGGCAGCACGUGUCUGAGAUAAACAGCUGAAAACAAGGAGAGUUUCCGAUGGGUUCCUAGUUCUGAAGUUUCAGUUCGUGAUCUGUCGGUUUCGUUGGUUCGGGUCUGUAAUGGACGCUCCGGAGGGAGCACGAGGCACAAGAGGUCUGUUCGUUUCCUGGUGGCCAGCAAGCAAAGACAGCAACCGCAGGCGCUGAAGUCCCAGUGUUCCCUUCCAGGGUGCAACCUCUUGGUCUCACUCUCAGCAGCGUCAAGCCUUUAAAACAUGUGCCUUUGGGAGACACUGAAGAUCCAAACCAUAACUGUCAGAGAGGCGAUGAGGCCCCCGACCCGACAGCCUGGGCUUCUCUGCGCGUGUCCAACUUUCCCUCAGCCUGUGGCUGACCUGAUCACUGAUCUUCCAAGCAGAAUUUAGUCCAUCAAGAAUAAGACAUGCCCAGAGCUACAUAAUUAGAGAAAGCAGGCUCACCUCCACUGAGGAAGAGGCCAGCAGUUUGUGCUUGUUGGGAGCUGUCUUCUAGUCGCUUAACCGCAGCGGUGGAUCCAACUCGGCAAGCGAGAUUCCUAGUGAGAGCCAACUGCGAGUGUUUAGCCUUGGCUGCUCAGACUGUGUGUGGAAAAGCAUUUCCUGACCUGGAGUGGAAAAGAGCUAUGAUCAGCUAGUAAUGGCAGCCAUCAAAGAGGCCGGGCGUGGUGUAGGGAGAGCUGUGGACUUGGCCGUUGGGGUUUCUGUGCACUUUGGUCCUGGCCCUGGCUUUUGAGAAUCUUCUCUUUCUGCUAUGACCCACACUUCCCACAGCAGCUGCCCAGGAAGGCUCACUCUGAAGACUCCACCGGCUCCUAUUCCUGGAAGCGAUUUCUCCUCCUCGUUUGAUGUGAGGUUUAGCACGUAAGUGGUCAUAGUGGCAUUUUACCUUGUGACUGAGUGUGGCCUCAGAAACCCAGCCAGCCUGUGGGCUGGAUGCUUUUCUGGCUCUGAAUGCUUCCAUUCUGGCUAAACCUACAAGUCAUAUCGCCAGCAGGCUGUCAGUUUGUUAAAAAACACGGUACAGGAAGGUACAACUUUGCACAUACUCACUGUUGUCUUUCUCCAAAACAUUCCAUUCUCUUAAGUUCCAGGGAGCCCUGUGGACAGACUUACACACGGGUGUUAGUCUAGGGAUAAAGGGACCACAGGUGAUGUCAGCACUGUAGAUCAAAAGCACAAUUAACAGGAGCCUUGAAACCAAGACAACUGGAGAAGCUGUGAGUCUGGGCGGAUCACCUCCUUGGGUAGUGGUCUCAGCAGGGUGCUACCAUUGUCUGAGAUUCGGAUAACUGUGAGAGCUUAUGUCUAUCGUCAGGAUCCUUGUCUGUCUGUCUGUCCUUACCUGUCCACAUCCAUCCAGCCUGGUCUCUUUUUGAUGGUCCUGGUCUUUUGUUUGUUUGUUUGUUUGCAUUGAGGUGUUGAAAAUACCAAUGGUAAGUUUUUACAUUCGAGACUUUUUUGUUGAUGGUGUUCCAAAUUCAUCUUAUGGAAAUAGCAAGAGAACUCUAACCAGUCUCUCUACACCUAGAAGGGCUUCACCCACAACUGGAAUGUACUCAACACCUCCUCUUCCCAUUAGAAAGUGAUAAAACCCCCUCUGCAGCCUGAGGCUUCUGGCUAUGUGACUGUGACCUUAUGUAAAGGUCAGGGGACACAUUUGUAGAGUUUUCUCCCUCUUUCCAUCUUCACUUGUGUUCAGGGGAUCAAACUGGGGUGUCACAGCCAUCUUCGCAGCCUGACCCCAUGAGUCUAUGUUUAUUUUGUGUCAGAUGACACUCCUGUGUCUUUCGAUGGGUCUGAUCUCUCAGCUGGCAGAGAAUUCUGCUUCCUACUGAUCACCAUUAAAGGCAGCUGUGGUCUCGCUG
Molecule: long non-coding RNA, 2300 nt
Filed under: Mus musculus (house mouse)
Lineage: Eukaryota; Metazoa; Chordata; Mammalia; Rodentia; Muridae
Description: RIKEN cDNA C730027H18 gene
Source: RNAcentral